Molecule: unclassified non-coding RNA, 320 nt
Filed under: plant metagenome
Description: partial contains 5.8S ribosomal RNA, internal transcribed spacer 2, and large subunit ribosomal RNA
Rfam family: 5.8S ribosomal RNA (bases 1-105)
Source: RNAcentral
GAAAUGCGAUAAGUAAUGUGAAUUGCAGAAUUCAGUGAAUCAUCGAAUCUUUGAACGCAUAUUGCGCCCGCCAGUAUUCUGGCGGGCAUGCCUGUUCGAGCGUCAUUACAACCCUCAGGCCCCCGGGCCUGGCGUUGGGGAUCGGCGGAAGCCCCCUGCGGGCACAACGCCGUCCCCCAAAUACAGUGGCGGUCCCGCCGCAGCUUCCAUUGCGUAGUAGCUAACACCUCGCAACUGGAGAGCGGCGCGGCCACGCCGUAAAACACCCAACUUCUGAAUGUUGACCUCGAAUCAGGUAGGAAUACCCGCUGAAGAUAAGC